RNAcentral lists this ribosomal RNA (751 nucleotides) under Cylindrospermum licheniforme UTEX B 2014. RNAcentral describes it as "bacterial LSU rRNA". It matches the Rfam family "Bacterial large subunit ribosomal RNA", at positions 912 to 1730 of the family's 2925-position model. Lineage: Bacteria; Bacillati; Cyanobacteriota; Cyanophyceae; Nostocales; Nostocaceae. The record is from RNAcentral.
GUUUCGGUGCGGGCUGGGAGACCGGUACCAAAUCGAGACAAACUCUGAAUACCCAGAGCACACGUUGCCAGUGAGACAGUGGGGGAUAAGCUUCAUUGUCAAGAGGGAAACAGCCCAGACCACCAGCUAAGGUCCCCAAAUCAUUGCUAAGUGAUAAAGGAGGUGAGAGUGCACAGACAACUAGGAGGUUUGCCUAGAAGCAGCCACCCUUGAAAGAGUGCGUAAUAGCUCACUAGUCAAGCGCUCUCGCGCCGAAAAUGAACGGGGCUAAGCAAUGUACCGAAGCUGUGGGAUAAAUCUAUUGAUUUAUCGGUAGGGGAGCGUUCCGUCGUAGGUAGAAGCAGUAGCGGCGAGCAGCUGUGGACGAAACGGAAGUGAGAAUGUCGGCUUGAGUAGCGCAAACAUUGGUGAGAAUCCAAUGCCCCGAAACCCUAAGGGUUCCUCCGCCAGGUUCGUCCUCGGAGGGUUAGUCGGGUCCUAAGGCGAGGCCAAACGGCGUAGUCGAUGGACAACGUGUCAACAUUCACGUACUAUUCUGCGGGAGCAUGAUUCGGGACGCAUAAAAGAUAGCCAGACCCUGAUUGGUUUGGGAGGAGUUUACGAACUCCGCUUGGNGAAGGAUAGUGCCUAGAAAAGCGAGUCAUGUGAUGAAAGCAGAGUACCCGUACCCGAAACCGACACAGGUAGGGAGGUUGAGUAUACCAAGGGGCGCGAGAUAACUCUCUCUAAGGAACUCGGCAAAAUGGCCCCG